Cephus cinctus (wheat stem sawfly) is the source of this 3133-nucleotide long non-coding RNA. RefSeq lists it as uncharacterized. NCBI's taxonomy places the organism in Eukaryota, Metazoa, Arthropoda, Insecta, Hymenoptera, Cephidae. The transcript has 4 exons. The record is from RefSeq and is a predicted model, not a curated record.
UUUGUUGUCGCUUUUCUUAUCUCUUAUUACUAUUAAUGAGCGAAUUUAAGAACAUAGAAUUAUAUAGUUAAAAAUGAAGUCAAAUAUUUCAGGCGAUAGAAGGUGUGUUCCAAAAUUUACUGUGAGUACUGUGAGUGCUGCCAACUCAUUACUGUCUUACUAUUUAUUUAGGGUGUGUUCUGAAAUGUACUGACAGUACUGUAAAAGUAAUUACAUCUCUCUUAAAUGCGUAUGGAUGAAUAAGGACACAGCGUUGGUUACAGAACUGGCAUUACUGUCCACUGAACUCUAACCAUACUGGAAUCUGUACGACAGUGGUGGGGGCCGCGCAGAGAGAAUAGCAAGGACACAGUUCGACUAGCUGAUAGGCUGCAGCGAUGGAAGUGAGAACGACCAAACGUCCAAGAAGAGAGAAAGGAAGUGAACAAAAUCCCGAUGAGAAAAACCGCUAGUACACUUGAGAAAAUUGAAAAUUUUGAGGAAGGCGACACGGACAUGUACGAGCUGCCAACGUGUCGAGAUUACUUCAGUCUUAUUCUACACAGUGAAGGUGACAUCUGCCACAAAACGAUCACUAAUAAUCAAGGACAAUGGAAUUAUCCCUCUGAAUGACGUAUGACCAAAUGAUGAAACUGAUGGCACAGGGUCGACAUUGAUUCUUAUCUUCUGCAAUUCUUUAAAUGUCAAAACUUAUAGACAUGCCAGGGUAUCUGCUAAAGUGCACGUAUUAGGGAACCCUGGCUGAUUGAUUGCGUACUGCAAGCCAAAAACGAAGCAAAUAUUUUACUAGAAAUUCAGUAUUUGCAUGAAGGAGCUAAAGAAUGGAGAGCAAUGGAAAAAAGUAAUCACGGUUGAUCCGACACUCAAAUGGGAGAAAUUACAAUUUAAUUAUUAUCAACGUCUGUACGUUCUCUAAACACAAUGUGUAUUAUACAAAAGUGUUUAUUUUCGCACUAAAUGCAUUAAGGUAGAACCUGGUGGUCAGGGUAGUAUCAUGAUGACAUGACUGACAUAUUUUCAAGUAAUACAACCCAGAAAGUUAUCCAAAAGUGAACUAAAUGAGUACCAAAUUUUCUCCUGGAAGUUACCUAUAAUCUAAUAACUGUUCUAAAAGACAACUUCAACACAUAAUAAUAAAUAGGUAUCUUCCAGACGGAUAUUUGGAACCCAUUAAGGCAUCAAAAAGAUAUCGACAUAAUUUUACUACCAAUCUAUCGGGCAACAAUAAUUUCACAAUAUCCUAUCACACUUCGGAGAUCAUCACAUAAGCGCGUAAAAGCGUUUCAAUUGUAAUAUCUUAUUAUUGUGUUUCGCGUGAUGAAAAUAUAUGAUUAUUUUUUUAUUGUCGACAAUAUACAUAUAACAACAUAAAAUAGCUUAUUUGUAAGCAAAAAAAAUUCUCUUUUCAUAAUUCCCGCUAAAAGGCGUAUAUAAUAAAGUUAUCUCGGUCUCUCUCACUUCUCUGUCUGUCUUUCUCUAGGUCGGUUGACUACAGCGCCACCAUGAUAUGCAACUGACCUUACUGCACACCGUUUUGGGACCACAUCCAAAGUACUGCGUUCGACCUCCUUUACUCUAGUCUCCAUGGCACUACCGUUCGAUUCAACCACAGACUUCUAUAUACCACUAGACCGCUAGUUUGCUAGCUGGCUGUGAGGCAAAGUGGAGGGGAGAUAGGACGCCAUCUUUUUGUAUGGCAUUCCGUAUUCCAGGCGGGGAAAGUAAAUAGGGGACGCCGAUCACUUCUUCCUUGAUUUCUAUGUUUCCACGUUUUCCGAGCAGACGUAUUUGUGUACAUAAAAUCGGAAUGAUAGGUAAAAUAAUUUGAUAAAUAUGAAGAAACGAAUCAGAUAAGCCAAUGUCAAACAAGUGGAGGCACAGAUCUCAAAUAUUUCGAAGACUAUAUCACUUAUAGUGUGCCAAAUAGCUAAGUGGAUAAGAUGUUGACUUAGUAAACGUAAGGUUCGGGGUUCAAAUGGCGAUAUUUUUUAUCCAAUUUACGCUACAAUUUUUAAAAUAGCAGUAUAAGUUCUCUCUUUCCUUUUUAAAUAUUAAAAGAGGAGAGUUUUGCUGGAUAUAAUCACUAACUACACGCACCAAUGCCAAUGUGAUGCAUUUGCCCCACUGAAUAGUGUCAGGUGUCACACGAAUACAUUAACCCACUCACAAAUUUGUCCUAUAAAAGAUGGCAGCCAGUCCCCACCACUUCAAAAAAUUUUCCUCACUUCUCUCAACGGCAGGAUACUGGAAGCUAGCGGUCUAGUAGUAUACAUAUAGAAGUUUGUGGGUUCAACUCUGUUUCAACCUUGUUUCAACUCAACUCUUACUACGGUGGAAACUAAGCCAUUGUAAUAAAGAGUUUUAGAACUAAUAAUGCAGGUGCAAUUGGAGAAUAUUAUAACAAAUUUUAUAUAGUUCUGAUUAUAAUAUGAAUAAUUAUUAACUUAAGCUAAUAAUUCUAACUUAAGCUACUUUAACUGAAUCUAUGUAAUUUAUUUUACGGUGUAUUGUGUAGUGUACUCUUCAGGAGCAGAAGUUUGAUUGCCGUCAUGAAUCCUGAAGCUUACACUUCUCUGUGUCUCACAUAUAUACGUACACAUUACAUAUACGCACGCACACAUCAUUUGUAGGUCCAUCUCUUUCGUGGAAGGACGCAGAGACGCGCCUCGCUUAGUCCCACAGCUUACGCAUUGUUGUGAUUCACAAAGAACUCAUACCCACCCCUGUUCCUAGCUUAUUUGGAAAGCGCAUGGAUAACUUCAACGUUCUACUCGAACUUUCCCUCGUCGCGCGACUUUCUCAAGUGAUUCAAUAUAUUGCCAGGAAUGGAAAUUGCCAUAUGCGUAUGUGUAUUGCCAUAAUGCGAACUGACUGUGUCCGCAAUGUGAAGUGAAAUAAGUUGUAAUUUGUAAACUAUAUUCGACCGCAGUAGACUUAUUACUGUUUACAAAUUACAAUUUAUUUCGCUUUAUAUUGCGGAGACAGUUAGUUCGAUUUAUGUUGUUUCGACUACAAGAUUGCAUUACGAGUGAUUAUUCUGUGAGAGAAUAUUGCGACAUGUAUUGGGUGUUAGCCCAAUGUAAUGGCAACCAAACACAAAUAGCGCAAGAAUAUGCAAUUAGGUACCCUAAUC